This 468-nucleotide ribosomal RNA is filed under the name uncultured bacterium. RNAcentral's name for it is "partial 16S ribosomal RNA". It matches the Rfam family "Bacterial small subunit ribosomal RNA", at positions 28 to 507 of the family's 1533-position model. The record is from RNAcentral.
GACGAACGCUGGCGGCGUGCUUAACACAUGCAAGUCGAACGGAAAGGCCCUGCUUUUGUGGGGUGCUCGAGUGGCGAACGGGUGAGUAACACGUGAGUAACCUGCCCUUGACUUUGGGAUAACUUCAGGAAACUGGGGCUAAUACCGGAUAGGAGCUCCUGCUGCAUGGUGGGGGUUGGAAAGUUUCGGCGGUUGGGGAUGGACUCGCGGCUUAUCAGCUAGUUGGUGGGGUAGUGGCUUACCAAGGCUUUGACGGGUAGCCGGCCUGAGAGGGUGACCGGCCACAUUGGGACUGAGAUACGGCCCAGACUCCUACGGGAGGCAGCAGUGGGGAAUAUUGCACAAUGGGCGGAAGCCUGAUGCAGCAACGCCGCGGGCGGGAUGACGGCCUUCGGGUUGUAAACCGCUUUCGCCUGUGACGAAGCGUGAGUGACGGUAAUGGGUAAAGAAGCACCGGCUAACUACGUG